AGAUACAGUAAAGCUACACCAGCACAUCACUGCAGAUUGACCUGGACUGUUUCUUUGUGUUUUAAGAGUUUGGAUUCCUCCUCAAGCAGCCAGCAACAGACCUUUCACAGUACUACCGGGUAUGGAUGGACUUGGCCAGCAACCUCACACCCCUCAUCCAAACACAUCAGCUACGACACCUGGUAAAAGAGAUGCCCGUGCUGAGUCCCCAUCACCUGAAGGGCCAUCGGAAGCUGAGGCUGGCUCACCUUGGUCUAUGUCUGGCAGGAGGGGCAAU
Molecule: long non-coding RNA, 277 nt
Organism: Oncorhynchus mykiss (rainbow trout)
Lineage: Eukaryota; Metazoa; Chordata; Actinopteri; Salmoniformes; Salmonidae
Source: RefSeq, a predicted model, not a curated record